AGGCAGCAGUGGGGAAUAUUGGACAAUGGGGGGAACCCUGAUCCAGCGACGCCGCGUGAGUGAAGAAGUAUUUCGGUAUGUAAAGCUCUAUCAGCAGGGAAGAAAGAAAUGACGGUACCUGACUAAGAAGCCCCGGCUAACUACGUGCC
RNAcentral lists this ribosomal RNA (149 nucleotides) under uncultured bacterium. RNAcentral describes it as "partial 16S ribosomal RNA". It matches the Rfam family "Bacterial small subunit ribosomal RNA", at positions 346 to 509 of the family's 1533-position model. The record is from RNAcentral.